This 503-nucleotide long non-coding RNA is filed under the name Zea mays. RNAcentral describes it as "long non-coding RNA NONZMAT002214". The record is from RNAcentral. Lineage: Eukaryota; Viridiplantae; Streptophyta; Magnoliopsida; Poales; Poaceae.
AUAAUUGAUCUCCCUGCGAAUUUGCUGUGCAACAAAUGAAAUAUGAAGUGUGAUGCUCCAAUCUUGUGUCACUUGAGCUAAUAAGGGAGUGGGAAUGUGGGAUAGUCAUUCUUCAAUAUAUAUAUAUGGCACCUUUUGCCUUAACUUCUAAUUUCCUCCAACUACUGAAUUUCUUUUGUGGGGUAAGAUCAUACAUUUCUGUUGUUUAUACGUUGUUUGUCUUCUACGGUUAGCGUACUGGCCAGGCUUCCCUUUUCAUUGUAUAAAUGGUACAGGAAGUACACAAAUCAUUUAUUUUUACUAAAUCUGGUUUCUAUGGAUCAUGCUGGUUGCUGGUCCUUCCCCGAAAUUUACUCCCAAUUAUUGUUUUCAUAAAAAAAUUAGUGUGCACAUUGUAUAAGGAAACUAAUGAGUGUGAAAUAAUGUGUACAAAGGCUAAAUGGUCUUUCUCUGACAGUAGACCCAGUCUAGAUCAUUUAGAUCCAAGUACAAUGAAGUCGGCC